Molecule: ribosomal RNA, 485 nt
Filed under: uncultured bacterium
Lineage: Bacteria
Description: bacterial SSU rRNA
Rfam family: Bacterial small subunit ribosomal RNA
Source: RNAcentral
AGAGUUUGAUCCUGGCUCAGAACAAACGCUGGCGGCGUGCCUAAUACAUGCAAGUCGAACGGGGAAAGUUCUUCGGAAUGAGUACUAGUGGCGUACGGGUGAGCAACACGUGGAUAAUCUUCCUUCAGGUGGGAAUAACGAGUCGAAAGAUUCGCUAAUACCGCAUAAGACCACAGUAACUUUGGUUACAGGGGUUAAAGACUUCGGUCGCCUUUAGAUGAGUCUGCGUCCGAUUAGCUAGUUGGUGAGGUAAUGGCUCACCAAGGCGACGAUCGGUAACUGGUCUGAGAGGACGGCCAGUCACACUGGGACUGAGACACGGCCCAGACUCCUACGGGAGGCAGCAGUAGGGAAUUUUGCACAAUGGAGGAAACUCUGAUGCAGCGACGCCGCGUGAGUGAUGAAGGCCUUCGGGUCGUAAAGCUCUGUUCUCAGGGAAUAAAAAAAUGAAGGUACCUGAGGAGAAAGGACCGGCUAACUUCGUG